AUGGUGCUGCCGCGGAUGGUGAGCACGCACACGUUGCCAUUUCACAGGAAGACACCACGAUAUUCCAGACCUCGGGUCAUUUCAGACCCCAAGUUUCCGUCAUUUUUGUUGUUGUUGACAACAGAUAGAUUCUUAGAAGAAGAAAAAAUGAAAAUAGAAACGUGUCAACUAAGUCAUUCAGAGAGAACAGCGUGAACAAAAGAGCACGUUUCAGUUAUCAGUCAUUAGAACAGAUACAUGAGUGCAUCAUUUGUAUCAUUUAUAAAGAGCUACCUUUACAGUGGACUAACAAACAAGUUCUACGGUCACCACAACCAUACCGUCUAUAAGAGCACAUGACGGGACACACUGUGGCUAUUGUGUGCGGGUGUGUCUCUGGGGCAAUAAUCAAAAAAUGUUUGAGAUAAGGGCCAGAAAGACAUGCUGUUGGAGAGGACAAGAGGAAGACGAAGGAGGGACACGCAGCAUGGUCGGGGUGUGAUCAUGGAAGGGAUCGCCUUCCAUGGGAGCAGACGGAGGCAGCAAGGGAGAAACAAUGACGACACAGGGGUUCGCGACCACAAAGGAAGCAUGAGAGGCAGGCCCAAAAACAUUUGGGGGGGGUGCACACGGGGUGGUUGGCGGAGCCAGGUUUCAGACCAGAGCCAACUCCCCGCACUCGCUUUAAGGAGUGUGUGACCGUUCAGGCACCAUGUUAUGCGGUGAUACGCACUGUCUCCACAGUGCGUAUUCACAGCCCGGUGAGCUCGGUGCCAGCUCCUCGCACUUGCCGUGCGAAAGUGAGAGUGAGCCUCCAGCGACGGUCUGCGGUCCAGAGCCUCCAGCGACGGUCUGCGGUCCGGAGCAUCCAGCGACGGUCGGCGGUUCCCAAUCAGAGGCAGCUGUCUAUCGUUUUCUCUGAUUGGGGAUCAUACUUAGGCAGUCUUUUGUCCACCUUUAGUUUGUGGGAUCUUGUUGUGUGUAGUUGCUUUCUGCACUGCAUGCAGCUUUACGGUCUUUUUUGUAUUCUGUUGUUUUUUCGGUGUCA
Molecule: long non-coding RNA, 1027 nt
Organism: Oncorhynchus masou masou (cherry salmon)
Lineage: Eukaryota; Metazoa; Chordata; Actinopteri; Salmoniformes; Salmonidae
Exons: 3
Source: RefSeq, a predicted model, not a curated record